ACUCAGAGAUUAUUACUCUAUCCGUUUUAAAAUAUAAAUCUUUUUCGAUGUUUCGUUAGAGGACUGCAUACGGAAGCAUAUAGAUAUAUUUUAGAAUGUACUCUCUUUACCUAAAUAAUUGUUGUUGGGACUACUUUAGCUCUUCCAACAAUAAUUAUUUACUAGAUAGGAAGGCAGUAGAUUCAUUUAUUUUGCUUCCUAUGUACUCUCUUCGUUUUAAAAUAAGCGA
This 229-nucleotide long non-coding RNA is filed under the name Hordeum vulgare. Its description in RNAcentral is "long non-coding RNA (HVUL_LNC010676)". Lineage: Eukaryota; Viridiplantae; Streptophyta; Magnoliopsida; Poales; Poaceae. The record is from RNAcentral.